RNAcentral lists this transfer RNA (72 nucleotides) under Bavayia campestris. Its description in RNAcentral is "tRNA-Asn". Lineage: Eukaryota; Metazoa; Chordata; Lepidosauria; Squamata; Diplodactylidae. The record is from RNAcentral.
UAGAUUGAAGCCCGCUGGUUUGGGUUUUUAGUUGUUAACUAAGUUUUAUGGGAUCAAGGCCCGUCGAUCUAG